Mytilus californianus (California mussel) is the source of this 1311-nucleotide long non-coding RNA. RefSeq lists it as uncharacterized. The record is from RefSeq and is a predicted model, not a curated record. The transcript is spliced from 3 exons. Lineage: Eukaryota; Metazoa; Mollusca; Bivalvia; Mytilida; Mytilidae.
UAUCUUGAUGCAAUAACAUUAUACUAUUACAUUUGCGUUAUACUUGUCAUAUAUUUUUUAAGGACUUUCAAAGAUAGUUAUGCUGUUGGAUUGUUAAAAGAUGACUGCAAGGAUGGCAUUUACAACAUAUUGAACGACAUUAUAUUUCAUACAGAUUUUGAUCCGAGCAUCGUUGAUCACCUUAUUUCUAGUUGCGUUUUGACCAUUGAUGAUGGAGAAAAUAUUAUGCAAGCCAAUUCGAGAAUUGAAAAGAAUAGUAUACUUUAUGACAUAUUAUUUGAAAGACCAUAUAAUUCAUUAGCGCCACUUCAGCAAGCAUCAAUAGACGUCAAAAACAUAGAAAUACAGUUGAUAUUGGAGAAAAACGGCUUUGUAGAACAGGAAAUAAACUUGCCACCUGUCAAACACUCAGAUGAUAUCAAGGAUGAUUCUGUUCGUUUGCAAAAAUGUUACAAAAUUAUAAAUGACAAUCUUGAUAGUAAAGAACCCAUCGAUAAGCUUGUAGAGUUUGAUGUUUUGAGUCUUGAACACAUGGAGGAACUAAAAGCCUGUCGUUCACCACGAGAAACAAAUAGGAAACUUUUACGUACACUUAUGUUCAAAUUUAAAGACGGAUACCAGAAUUUUCUUAAUUCGCUAAAGGAUGACUGUGUUCAUGAAGAUCUGGCUGAAAAAAUCAUGCAAACGGAAGUAACAGAAAAGGAUAGACAUCUAUCAAAAAUAGGUAAUUGUGUGAUGUUUGAAAUAACAUUUUUGAAUUUAAAAUGCUGAACAUUUUUUUCCAUUUGCUUUGCUCUUUUUUGUAUUGUUGCAAAUGUCAAUAAAACAGACAGGUUUGUGGUAAAGGAAUUGCAUAUAAUGUAAUUGAAUUAUAAAAGAACACGUUGCAAAUAUCUAAGUAGAACAUACUGCAUGACUAUUAUUGUUACUUCAUCUAUUUCAAAAUAUCAAUGUCCAUCAAUAUUUCCAAAAACUAUUCAGUCGUCAUCAGCAUCGUUUCUGUAAACGUCGUUUAUUGUACUAAGUACAAAACACUUCAUCGUUAUAUAUCUAAACGUUUGAAAUUCUUAAAUUUGUAAAGAGCAAGCGAGCAAAAACAUUACAAUUGAUAUAGUUAAAGACCUCUACAGACAUAUAACAGGAUAGCAUUUGCUGGAAUAGGAAAUAUUUGACAACUAAAAUGUUUAUUUACAAACUGUGAACAAUAAACAGGUUUAUUCCGAAACUAUGGAAUGUAUAACGACUGUGUUUUGUUUAAAAUUAUUUGACUAUGUGUUUUACAUUUGUGGAUUGCUUUUUCAUUGAUUGGUA